RNAcentral lists this long non-coding RNA (598 nucleotides) under Heterocephalus glaber (naked mole-rat). Its description in RNAcentral is "lncRNA (ENSHGLG00100033912.1)". Lineage: Eukaryota; Metazoa; Chordata; Mammalia; Rodentia; Bathyergidae. The record is from RNAcentral.
GUGGCAUAAAGGAGCUCGGGGCAGCCGCCCACUCUCUUCAGUGCCUGCAGCUGGGAUGAAUCCUGCAGGGGCAGAUAGCAGCCAUGGUGGGGAGAACAGCCCCUGUCCUCAGCAGCCACACAGGAACAUGGUCCUCAGGGCCCAUCACUGGGGACCAAGCGGUCACUCUGCGCCUGACAGAGAGGCGCCCAGGGUCUGCAGGUACUUCCAGCGUGGCUUCUGCUUCCGUGGAGACAGGUGCAGCUAUUGGCACCUGGUGCCCACCAGCCCCCUAGAGUGGGGCCGCCGCUAUUCUGAGCCACUUGUCACCAGGCCGGGUCCCUGGCCAGGCCUGACCCGCAGGGCCUCCGAGCCCACCUUCCCGCCCUCUGUGGUUGUGGACUGGGGCCAGGGCUGGCUUGGGGCCCGCUGGGGCAUGGAGUUGGGCCUGGAGGAGGCUGGAGGCAGCUCUUGGAGGUCCCUGUCUUCGUCAUCUGCUGCCUGGGAGCCCAGCCUGGCCCAGGAGCCCCAGCCCGGGUCCGACCCGGUCGGGGAGCUCUCGGGCGCCCUUCAGAGCCUGGACCUGGCAGAGGUAGGGCGGGGCUGCGGGGCAGGGGUG